RNAcentral lists this ribosomal RNA (264 nucleotides) under uncultured bacterium. RNAcentral's name for it is "partial 16S ribosomal RNA". It matches the Rfam family "Bacterial small subunit ribosomal RNA", at positions 793 to 1055 of the family's 1533-position model. The record is from RNAcentral.
GUCCACGCCGUAAACGAUGGAUGCUAGCCGUCGGCAAGCUUGCUUGUCGGUGGCGCAGCUAACGCAUUAAGCAUCCCGCCUGGGGAGUACGGCCGCAAGGUUAAAACUCAAAGGAAUUGACGGGGGCCCGCACAAGCGGUGGAGCAUGUGGUUUAAUUCUACGCAACGCGAAGAACCUUACCGGCUCUUGACAUGCCUCGAACCCCAGCAGAAAUGUCGGGGGCCCAGCAAUGGGCGGGGACACAGGUGCUGCAUGGCUGUCGU